UCAGCCCAGAGCCUGACGCGGGGCUCGAACUCCCGGACCGCGAGAUCGUGACCUGGCUGAAGUCGGACGCUUAACCGACUGCGCCACCCAGGCGCCCCUGCUCUGUGCAGAUUGGCCCACGUGCUAUCUGGAUGGCACCUGGGGGGAGCGGAGAACUGAAGGGUGACAGAGGAGAGAGAGGGGCAUCCAGCAGGAAUUUCCCAUGGGCCGGGGGGACAUGGUGGGAGGCGAAUGGCCCUGAGCUGCCUUGCACACGUUCUCCUGAGAGGAAAAGCUGCAGUUGAUGGAGGGGGAAGCUACUGUAGAACCAGGAGGUCAUGGAUGGCCUCUGUGGAGAUGACAUUUACGGUGAAAUCUGAAGGACAAGAAGGAGUUGGUCACGUGAAGAUCACAAGUAGGAGCACUCAACCAGAGGACACAGCGGUGCAAAGGCAUGGAAGCAAUCCCAUGACAAGCAAGGAAGGAAGGGCACAAGAUGUGAUGUCAGAACAUCACAGAUAUUAUAGAGGCUGCUUGCUCCCUCCCCCGAGUCCAUCCCUGGCCUCCACUUCCUGGAUAACGGCACUGUUGGGAGCUUGGUGUGAUCAGCACAGGGGUCCAGGGCUUGGGCUCCGGAGCCAAACUACUAAGGUUUGAUUCCUACUGCUCCUACUUCCUAACUGUCGAGUCCUGCGGCCCAGCAUAACUUCCAAAGGGGCCGAGAAGUGUGAUCCGCCCACAUCCCAGAAGGACGACCGGACCGUGGGAAUGCUUCUAAUGUGCUGCCAUUACAUAUGGUGUUUGCUGUAAGUUUCUCGUAGAUAACCCUUGAUCACGUUAAGAAAUGCGUUCCUAAGUUUGUUUAGAGUUUAAGAGUGUGUUCUUAUCAUGAAUGAGAAUUAAAUUUUAUCAAACGACUUUA
Molecule: long non-coding RNA, 901 nt
Organism: Felis catus (domestic cat)
Lineage: Eukaryota; Metazoa; Chordata; Mammalia; Carnivora; Felidae
Exons: 4
Source: RefSeq, a predicted model, not a curated record